Molecule: ribosomal RNA, 482 nt
Filed under: uncultured bacterium
Lineage: Bacteria
Description: partial 16S ribosomal RNA
Rfam family: Bacterial small subunit ribosomal RNA
Source: RNAcentral
AUUGAACGCUGGCGGCAUGCUUUACACAUGCAAGUCGAACGGUAACAGGCCGCAAGGUGCUGACGAGUGGCGAACGGGCGAGUAAUGCAUCGGAACGUGCCCAGUCGUGGGGGAUAACUACUCGAAAGAGUAGCUAAUACCGCAUACGAUCUAUGGAUGAAAGCGGGGGACCGUAAGGCCUCGCGCGAUUGGAGCGGCCGAUGUCAGAUUAGGUAGUUGGUGGGGUAAAGGCUCACCAAGCCAACGAUCUGUAGCUGGUCUGAGAGGACGACCAGCCACACUGGGACUGAGACACGGCCCAGACUCCUACGGGAGGCAGCAGUGGGGAAUUUUGGACAAUGGGCGCAAGCCUGAUCCAGCAAUGCCGCGUGCAGGAAGAAGGCCCUCGGGUUGUAAACUGCUUUUGUACGGAACGAAACGGCUCUGGUUAAUACCCGGGGCUAAUGACGGUACCGUAAGAAUAAGCACCGGCUAACUACGUG